GAUGAACGCUGGCGGCGUGCCUAAUACAUGCAAGUAGAACGCUGAAGGAGGAGCUUGCUCUUCUGGAUGAGUUGCGAACGGGUGAGUAACGCGUAGGUAACCUGCCUGGUAGCGGGGGAUAACUAUUGGAAACGAUAGCUAAUACCGCAUGACAACAGUUAUUGCAUGAUAACUGUUUAAAAGGGGCAACUGCUCCACUACCAGAUGGACCUGCGUUGUAUUAGCUAGUUGGUGAGGUAACGGCUCACCAAGGCGACGAUACAUAGCCGACCUGAGAGGGUGAUCGGCCACACUGGGACUGAGACACGGCCCAGACUCCUACGGGAGGCAGCAGUAGGGAAUCUUCGGAAAUGGACGGAAGGCUGACCGAGCAACGCCGCGUGAGUGAAGAAGGUUUUCGGAUCGUAAAGCUCUGUUGUAAGAGAAGAACGAGUGUGAGAGUGGAAAGUUCACACUGUGACGGUAUCUUACCAGAAAGGGACGGCUAACUACGUG
Molecule: ribosomal RNA, 495 nt
Filed under: uncultured bacterium
Lineage: Bacteria
Description: partial 16S ribosomal RNA
Rfam family: Bacterial small subunit ribosomal RNA
Source: RNAcentral